This 332-nucleotide ribosomal RNA is filed under the name uncultured Thioprofundum sp. Its description in RNAcentral is "bacterial SSU rRNA". It matches the Rfam family "Bacterial small subunit ribosomal RNA", at positions 568 to 898 of the family's 1533-position model. Lineage: Bacteria; Pseudomonadati; Pseudomonadota; Gammaproteobacteria; Chromatiales; Thioprofundaceae. The record is from RNAcentral.
CGCGUAGGCGGUUUGGUAAGUCGGGUGUGAAAGCCCCGGGCUCAACCUGGGAAUUGCAUUCGAUACUGCCUGGCUAGAGUAUGGUAGAGGGAAGCGGAAUUCCGGGUGUAGCGGUGAAAUGCGUAGAUAUCCGGAGGAACACCAGUGGCGAAGGCGGCUUCCUGGACCAAUACUGACGCUGAGGCGCGAAAGCGUGGGGAUCAAACAGGAUUAGAUACCCUGGUAGUCCACGCCCUAAACGAUGAGAACUAGCCGUUGGAGGAGCUUUGUCCUUUAGUGGCGCAGCUAACGCGAUAAGUUCUCCGCCUGGGGAGUACGGCCGCAAGGUUAAA